UUUUUUUCUGGUGUGUUCGUCUUCUGAUUUUCGAUGUGAAUUGUUUCAAUCACUUUCUCCAUUACUUCAACAAGUGUGAUUUUGUUUCUAUUUAAAGGCAAUUGGAAAGCAUCACUGAUGGGUUUUGUUUAAUGAAUAGCGCACUCAGUCUUUUCGUUGCCGAAAUUGAAUUUUAUUUGAGUACAUGCUUGCAGUUGCUGUUUCUAUUUCCAUACGGUUGUUGCAUUCAGUUGCUCUUACAUUCUUUUACGUUUUAUUCAAAAAC
RNAcentral lists this long non-coding RNA (265 nucleotides) under Lupinus angustifolius (narrow-leaved blue lupine). RNAcentral's name for it is "long non-coding RNA (LANG_LNC003396)". Lineage: Eukaryota; Viridiplantae; Streptophyta; Magnoliopsida; Fabales; Fabaceae. The record is from RNAcentral.